RNAcentral lists this long non-coding RNA (409 nucleotides) under Setaria viridis. RNAcentral describes it as "long non-coding RNA (SVIR_LNC005802)". Lineage: Eukaryota; Viridiplantae; Streptophyta; Magnoliopsida; Poales; Poaceae. The record is from RNAcentral.
UCAUAUUCAUGCAAGAAUUAUUUGUAAAAAAAGUUUGAAUGUUUGGGAGAGAGGAAGUAUGUUUAAUUUAAAGAAAAAAUUUAAAAAGCCUAUAUUUUUAAAUGCUCUAAAAAGUGGGAUGUUACAAACAUCAUUUUUGACAUUUGGUUCCAAUCACUAUUCGUUUGUCUCCACUCAUCUCUACCAUUGUAUUGCCUCGCCCUAGCCAGUCUGCUGUCCUAAGCAUCCAUCUAAGCCUCCAGAAUACUGAAGCUUAUCAGUGCUAUGGAAUUCACCAUCCACAUAGCUUUGUUCCCGGUCGCAGUAAUUUAGAAGGCGUGUCUAAUAAAACGUAGACACUAGAUACCAAGGUUGCAACAUUUUGAGACAGGUAUUGGAGCCAGAUUUGGAUCAUCUAUAUUAAUGACAA